Molecule: ribosomal RNA, 497 nt
Filed under: uncultured bacterium
Lineage: Bacteria
Description: partial 16S ribosomal RNA
Rfam family: Bacterial small subunit ribosomal RNA
Source: RNAcentral
GAUGAACGCUGGCGGCGUGCCUAAUACAUGCAAGUCGAGCGAACAGACGAGGAGCUUGCUCCUCUGACGUUAGCGGCGGACGGGUGAGUAACACGUGGAUAACCUACCUAUAAGACUGGGAUAACUUCGGGAAACCGGAGCUAAUACCGGAUAAUAUAUUGAACCGCAUGGUUCAAUAGUGAAAGACGGUUUUGCUGUCACUUAUAGAUGGAUCCGCGCCGCAUUAGCUAGUUGGUAAGGUAACGGCUUACCAAGGCAACGAUUCGUAGCCGACCUGAGAGAGUGAUCGGAAACACGGGAACUGAGACACGGUCCAGACUACUACGGGAGGCAGCAGUAGGGAAUCUUACGCAAUGGGCGAAAGCUUGACGGAGAAACGCCGCGUGAGUGAUGAAGGUAUUCGGAUUGUAAAACUCUGUUAUUAGGGAAGAACAAAUGUGUAAGUAACUAUGCACGUCUUGACGGUACAUAAUCAGAAAACCACGGAUAAAUACGUG